UGAAAAGCACUUUGGAAAGAGAGUUAAAGAGACCGCGAAACCGUUAGGAGGGAAACGCAUGCAGCCGAACUGGCCUUCGUCGGGUUCACGGGGCCGCGCGAGUCCUGGUCGAGCCGGAUGUCACCCAUGCGGGGUCGUCUGCUCGGCGGUGGUCUGCGCUCCCCUGCACUCCCGGCGGUGGGGGCCGGCCAAGGACGGUGGUGUCCCCGGCAAAAAGGACGGUCGGGUAGGUGGUGCAGCCGGCCCUCUCGGGUCGGAGGCGAGCUUAGAGCCGUCCGUUCGGCAGGUCGCGGGUCCACCGAGGAGAGUGGUGGCUUGUUUCACCCCGGCAGCGCAGGCCUCGCUUCAGGGGGGGGCCGGAGCGCUUCUGUCCGUUCAGCCUCCGCGCCGAGGGACUGCUCGCAGUGCCCGGUGUCGGUGUGCGGGUCCGGGCGGGAGGUCGCCUCACGCCUUGCGCUGCGGUGGCUU
Molecule: ribosomal RNA, 468 nt
Filed under: Cinachyrella kuekenthali
Lineage: Eukaryota; Metazoa; Porifera; Demospongiae; Tetractinellida; Tetillidae
Description: partial 28S ribosomal RNA
Source: RNAcentral